This 444-nucleotide ribosomal RNA is filed under the name uncultured bacterium. RNAcentral describes it as "bacterial SSU rRNA". It matches the Rfam family "Bacterial small subunit ribosomal RNA", at positions 331 to 792 of the family's 1533-position model. The record is from RNAcentral.
CCAGACUCCUACGGGAGGCAGCAGUGGGGAAUAUUGCACAAUGGGGGAAACCCUGAUGCAGCGACGCCGCGUGAGUGAAGAAGUAUUUCGGUAUGUAAAGCUCUAUCAGCAGGGAAGAAAAUGACGGUACCUGACUAAGAAGCCCCGGCUAACUACGUGCCAGCAGCCGCGGUAAUACGUAGGGGGCAAGCGUUAUCCGGAUUUACUGGGUGUAAAGGGAGCGUAGACGGCAGCGCAAGUCUGAAGUGAAAUCCCAUGGCUUAACCAUGGAACUGCUUUGGAAACUGUGCAGUUGGAGUGCAGGAGAGGUAAGCGGAAUUCCUAGUGUAGCGGUGAAAUGCGUAGAUAUCACGAAGAACCCCGAUUGCGAAGGCAGCUUACUAAACUGUGACUGACAUUGAUGCUCGAAAGUGUGGGUAUCAAACAGGAUUAGAUACCCGAGUA